GGACGAACGCUGGCGGCGUGCCUAAUACAUGCAAGUCGAACGGUCUUUCUAUGGAAGCUUGCUUCCACUGAGAAGAUAGUGGCGAACGGGUGAGUAACACGUGGGUAACCUGCCCAUAAGAGGGGGGAUAACAUCCGGAAACGGGUGCUAAUACCGCAUAGUUUUCUUGGUCGCAUGAUCGGGAAAGGAAAGACGGCCUUUGUGCUGUCGCUUAUGGAUGGACCCGCGGCGUAUUAGUUAGUUGGUGAGGUAACGGCUCACCAAGACGAUGAUACGUAGCCGACCUGAGAGGGUGAUCGGCCACAUUGGGACUGAGACACGGCCCAAACUCCUACGGGAGGCAGCAGUAGGGAAUCUUCCGCAAUGGACGAAAGUCUGACGGAGCAACGCCGCGUGAGUGAAAGAAGGUUUUCGGAUCGUAAAACUCUGUUGUCAGAGAAGAACAAGUUGGAGAGUAACUGCUCCAGCCUUGACGGUAUCUGACCAGAAAGCCACGGCUAACUACGUGCCAGCCGCGGC
Molecule: ribosomal RNA, 519 nt
Filed under: uncultured bacterium
Lineage: Bacteria
Description: bacterial SSU rRNA
Rfam family: Bacterial small subunit ribosomal RNA
Source: RNAcentral